This is a long non-coding RNA of Mauremys reevesii (Reeves's turtle), 443 nucleotides long. RefSeq lists it as uncharacterized. Lineage: Eukaryota; Metazoa; Chordata; Testudines; Geoemydidae. The record is from RefSeq and is a predicted model, not a curated record. The transcript has 3 exons.
CAUUAGACGAACCCAUAGCUCAGUGCUUAGAGUAUGCUCUAUGCUCCUCACUGGUGGGAGAUGCCCUGUUCAAAUCUGUUUUUCCCCAAUCAGGCAGAGGGCGGGGAUUGAACCAGCAUCUUCCACAGCCUGGGUGAGCCUGCGAAACACUGGGAUAAAAGUUAUAAGGUCAGUUGCUGUACUUGCAACCAGCCAACUCUUUAUAUGAAUUAGGCAUUCACAAAGAGUUGCAGCGGUAGUGAGCAUGGAGGCCAGGAAUGCCUGGCUUCCUGUGGCAAACUUGGCAUCUGAUAAGAGGACUCCAUUUAACAGCCUCUGCCCAUGGCAAGUUACGUAACCAGCAGGCAAUGUCCUGAGUGUCACAGACGAAAUCUGUAUAACAGUUUAGAGGAAAUAAAAUCGCUUUAACAAACAUUUAUAAUAGAUUUAACACCUGUAUGUUU